UACGUAGGGAGCAAGCGUUGUUCGGAUUCAUUGGGCGUAAAGGGUGCGUAGGCGGCGCGGUAAGUCGGGUGUGAAAUCUCGGAGCUUAACUCCGAAACUGCAUUCGAUACUGCCGUGCUUGAGGACUGGAGAGGAGACUGGAAUUUACGGUGUAGCGGUGAAAUGCGUAGAUAUCGUAAGGAAGACCAGUGGCGAAGGCGGGUCUCUGGACAAUUCCUGACGCUGAGGCACGAAGGUCAGGGGAGCAAACGGG
This 253-nucleotide ribosomal RNA is filed under the name uncultured bacterium. RNAcentral's name for it is "partial 16S ribosomal RNA". It matches the Rfam family "Bacterial small subunit ribosomal RNA", at positions 524 to 776 of the family's 1533-position model. The record is from RNAcentral.